UUUAGUAGAGACAGAGGUUUCACCAUGUUGGCCAGGCGGGUCUCGAACUCCAGACCUCAACUGAUCUGCCCACCGCUCUUCAUUCUUGACCCUUAACUCAUUAAAUACGAUAUGUCUCUCGCUGACUACUCAGAACCUUUAAAAACGUGGUUGAAGCGAAAUCUCUCCAGUGUUUGUGACAUGGCAAAGCAUGCUUCCCCCAACCCAAACAAAAACCUAACAAAUGCAAAAACGAGCCUCCAGAGACAGAAAAAAGAAGGCAGCUAAAGUGAAAAAGCCACAAAAGAUGUAGUGUUAGGAUAAAAGAGGAAGGUUACUGACACUGGGGGAAAUGAACUAAAGAGUAUGAAAAUAAAACAUUUGUUUUCCCCUUAACUGAAUGACGAUUGAAUCUUAGCUCAUAGUGUAGAAUAUACCAUCUGGAAAAGCAGAGUAAAACAGGAUUAAACUUGCCCUACGACAAACAUAAACGACAUUUCCCUGUUUAAAGAGUCGAGGUAUUUCUUAAAAUCAUAAAACAAAAAAAUUAAGACUUAAGGAUGAACUCAUCUAUGUAUAAUGCUCAUUCACUUCCCCUUUAUUUGUAUACUUCUAGGGGUCUGGUGGUUCUAGCGACUGAAAAUUCCUAUCCAAAUACCAAUGACUUGAAUCACAUUUUCUAGGACUGCCACAAACAAAAGAUUUAUUUGGAGACGAAUAAAAAGGGGCCGUAGGAUUACCUACAAGAAGUUAUUUCCUCCUGAGAUUGAUGGCACAACCUUGUCAGCAAAUUGCUGUUGCCUCUCUCAGUUACCAAAAAUAACCCGUAACAAACACCAGGCUUGGGUGUAAGUUCUUUCCUAAGGGAACAACUCAGCAGAGCUGUUUAUAACUAGAGAGGAGGAAACAAUAAUCUGCAAGAUGUCGCCAGCAGCAGAAUGAGAACGGUUAUUAGUUAAUAGCCAUCAGAGACAGACCAAGUGGAACACAGUCCUCGGAAAAACGCCACUCUGUAGCAUUAGUAAUUAAAACCUCACAAGGUUUGUAUUUCCUGAAGGAGGCCGUCAGUGUCAAUGCUGUACUAACGACGGUACUGUACGUAAGUUUCGGUACUGCCCCCACUUUCUUCUCCUUGACAUUGUAUUACUAAAAGCUGCAGCUACUCUCUACAGUUUUCUCAUUGGUUACUAAUGUCUGGAACAGCAGCUAGAUUAUGCAGUAAGCUCUUGGUAUGUAUUAGCUAUUAUAUAAUAAUUUAUUUGAAUAGAGUAGAACUAAAAAUUUGAAAUGAGUUAAAACCAAAGAGUUAAAAGAUUUAUGGUAGUAAAUAUUCAUACUGUUUUGUUGAUUUGGACAGUUGUCUUGAACAGCUUUGAAAGGGAACAUAUGACAGGUUUCGUUUAUAAUUUUAAUUGAUGCUGAACUCCACUAACAUGAUAUGUGCAGCUGGUGUUACAUUAUAACUGAGUUUUUUAAUUACCCAGUGAAGAAAUUCAAGAUGUCAUGCUCUUGUUUUUCUCCAGAGUGAACCACAAAGUCUGAAAAACUGUUGUUGACGACUUCUCAGUCCUUUAUGUGGAGCUGGGGGCAGGAAGAAUUGCUUCUGGAAGCUGAUGGAGUUGGACAUGUGGCUUUCUAGAAUCUGGAUGUGAUGGUGCAGGAAAAACUCCUGCCCAUUGAGAGGGCUCCGUAAGUGCUUCCCAAAAGAGAAUGAGAAGGAAAAGGAGAUCUCCACAGGAACUGCCUCCUUGGAUCCAGGGCAAAAAUGAACCUCCUAUUGGAGAGAAGUGCCCAGCUUGUCAAGAAGUUGAAUCGGUGCAACCAGCGUUUGUGAAAGCAGCAUUUCCCAUUUCACAUAAAGUCAGCUUCUGGCCAACUGGACAAGUCUGAACAAAUAUGAAACCCACUAAAAGGCCAGUGACAGGUGCACACACUACUGACUCUGGCUAGAGGCUGUGGCAGGAAUUGGACUCAUGUCAUCCAGCGACAGUUCCACCAGCAUCUCUUGUGGCUUCCCAAGGACCAGCCUGAGGCAAACUCCUCAGUGGUGUGAAGACUUUCCAUGUCACUGGAAACCCACCACAGAGUUCUACCAAGUAACCAUGCCUCCACCAGUCCACAACAAACUUUUAAGGCCUCUCCAGUUAUGCCUGCAACCAUCCCACAUUAGCAACCUAAGUAGGCCACCAGUAGAGCUGGUCAAGAGAAAGGAUAGGUUCAAUUAAUUAUUUUUUAAUUAAAAAAAAAUAGAGACAGGGUCUUGUUAUGUUGCCGAGGCUGGUCUUGUACU
Molecule: long non-coding RNA, 2269 nt
Filed under: Homo sapiens (human)
Lineage: Eukaryota; Metazoa; Chordata; Mammalia; Primates; Hominidae
Description: HSALNT0335589
Source: RNAcentral